RNAcentral lists this long non-coding RNA (247 nucleotides) under Daucus carota (carrot). RNAcentral describes it as "long non-coding RNA (DCAR_LNC006415)". The record is from RNAcentral. Lineage: Eukaryota; Viridiplantae; Streptophyta; Magnoliopsida; Apiales; Apiaceae.
GGUUCCCUACAAAAGUGUUUUUCAACGGGGAGGAAUGCUCACUCCCAAGAAUACUUCCAUCAGGCAAUUCUUACAGAUUGCACUCAUCAGUCUCGACGUCUUUCGUAUUAGCUCUAGUAAUCCUGGUUUUGAUUCAGCAAUAACAAUUUGAUCUGAGUAUUGCUGCCUGUUUUGGUUAUGGAUGAUAUUAUCUUCAUUCUUUUGGUUUAUAUUGUCUGUAUAUUACUGUUAACUCGAAUUAUUCAAC